UUGGAGGGCAAGUCUGGUGCCAGCAGCCGCGGUAAUGCCAGCUCCAAUAGCGUAUAUUAAAGUUGUUGCAGUUAAAAAGCUCGUAGUUGAAUUUCGGAAUCAGUAUGUUGGUCGUGCUUCGGUACGUACUGUCAUUACUGGUUUCUACCUUCUGAAGAACCUUGAUGUCAUUAAUUUGGUGUCUUGGGGAAUCAGGACUGUUACUUUGAAAAAAUUAGAGUGUUUAAAGCAGGC
This 234-nucleotide ribosomal RNA is filed under the name uncultured Glomus. RNAcentral describes it as "partial 18S ribosomal RNA". It matches the Rfam family "Eukaryotic small subunit ribosomal RNA", at positions 548 to 785 of the family's 1831-position model. The record is from RNAcentral. Lineage: Eukaryota; Fungi; Glomeromycota; Glomeromycetes; Glomerales; Glomeraceae.